AGCCCAUUGAAGGUGGUGGGUAUUUUGGCUUUGGAGGAGGCCAAAUGCAGCCUUUGUUGCUCUGAAUAAAUGAGUUUAUGAUUCAGUGUAGCCUUGGUCCCUGUGAAAGGAGCCCCCAUGAGAAGUUCCGUCAGAGAGACUGAAUUACAAGCCAACAGGACUUUGCUGUAAUUUAUUUAAAGUUAUUUACAUGCACAAGAGUACAUUUGUGGAGCCAGGUUCUGCCGUGAUGAAAUUGGAAAGGACGUUUACCUAAUGCUAAGGUGAUCCAAUGGAAGACUGCAGCAUGUAGCUACCGAAGCCUGAUAUAAAUGCACUCCGUGCUGCCAGCACCAAGAAUGCUUUGGCGUGAUGAUGCCAGCCCGCCUGCUCUGCAUGCUACAGAUCCCAGCACAACUGCAAGAAGAACAGUAGAAGACUUUGAUCCAUCUGAAUGAAGCUGAAAAGCAGAAAGUUUUAUAAAAUGGAUUAAAAUUAGAGAAGGAGUCUGGUUAGCUAUCAGGGAUUCCAAGAACCUGUAAGAACAGGCUUGCAUCGAAGUCACAUCGGGUCUGUGAGCCUCCUGCUUUCAGAACUAAUUUCAGAACAUAUGAAUGAGUCUGAACUAUGGGAGGUCACCAGGAAAGGCAGCCCUGAGCUCCUAGCAAGGCCGUCUUGUUGGGUUCAAGAGAAAACACAGCUCCAAGCAGGUUGGUUUAUCUUGCUGCUUUAGGGGCAGGGGAUUUAGGGGAUUUUCCAGUCUGGAGUGAGCUUCUUGCUACUGGAGAAGCCAACAACUGUUUACAAGACAACUGUGUGCCUUGAAUGCAAGAAGGGCAUGCCAUUGGCUCCUGUUUGAAUAAACACUCAUUAGGUGUUCAAACAUAUUUGCCUGGUCAAAGUCUAAGACAUCCAAGACUUUCCACUUUCCUUCAGAUUUAUAUCCUAGCUCAGCAUGGCGACAGACAGACAGCACAAGAGGACGGGAAAAUGUUGCAGUCUGAAUUCUGCUGUCCAGUUCUUCAGUUUUUAUUUUUUUUCUGGCUCAUGAAGGCAAUUCUGAUCUCUUUGGCCAAACUUAAGGGAAGCUGCUCAGAGGGUAUGUCAAGACCAGUUCCCUAACUUUUAACUGGGAGAAGUUCCACACAGUGGAAAGUCUUCAUCUAUCAUCAAUUCAAGAUAUUAAUUCAAGGAAUAAUUGAUGUUUUAUCUAAUUUAUGUGGUCUGAGGGUAUGCUUCAACCACAGGGUAGACCACAGAUGUAUGCUGCAGCAAUUUUCACAGGCUGGCUCUCUUGCUUAUCCACCUUGAAGGCUGGAGUGCCAUGGGUCUCCUCCAGUAUGUGCACCUGGCUGUCCUGCCCAGAGAAACCAAGACACAAGAAGAGGAGAGCUCUAACCCCAAUGUUGAAUUGAAGUGGUGGGUUGCAGAGCUGGAAGCACUCCCUGUGUUACAUCUCACCCAAAGCCAAUACAACUCUGAAGUCUUCCUUGGUAGUUUGUAAAACUGAAACAUGGAUCUAGGAGUUAAAAUGGUAUAAGCUGAAUUUUACAUUUGGGUGUAAGAGAGUGAGAAGAGUGAGAAUGUUGUCAGUGGAUAAAGGCAUAUUUUUAGUUAUUACAUUUUGAAAUCAUUGAGUUUUUCCUGGAAACAAAGAAUUAUUCUGCUGAAUCCUCUGAGACCUAUUAGUAAGGAUAAAGAGUUGAAGUGUUCCUUUGGGGCAAAAGACACUAUAGAAUGGAACAAAAAGAUCCUGAAGCAAAAAAGCCUGGAAACAGUUAUGGGGGAAAAGCUUAAGGGAAGAAAGAUUCAUGCUUUCGUGUUGCAUAAGUUUAUGAGAGACUGAAGGAAAACAGAGAAAUUGGACCAGUGUAUAUGUGUUGUGUCCAAAGCAGAGUAGCAUAUUUUUGCAGCACAGAAACAAAAAUUCAGAUGGUUUGUUUUUAUUUAUAAUUAGUAUAUGCAUGAGUGUUGGCUUUUAGGGAUGAUCUCAUUAUGAAAAAAGGAUGAGCGAAAUGUAAUGCUUUCUGGACCUCUGCCCAUUCCGCAAAUCACAUUCUCCUCCAGGCUUCCUCAGCAGAACAUCUCUGUUUUCUACAUAAUGAUGUACUCAAAGAUGAGUUGCAUUCAUUUAUUUUCUAAAGUAGGGCUUGUUUGCACUCUAUUUGGAAUAGAUUUCUGUCUAAUUAUACUAAUGCACGUUCAGUCCUAAUCUAAUAAUCUGAUCUGGAUUACUAAAUGCUAACAGAGCUGUUAUCUAUCAUGGAUGAGUUUAUCUCAGUGAAGGCAAUGAUUUCCAAAGGGAAUGAACAAGAUUUCAGAGUAUGUAUGUGAAUAAUAAAUUAAGAUACAGAUAGCACAUGUUAGUAAUGAGGAGGUAAAAUGAUAAUUGAGUGGCUCCAAACUGCUGUGAUUUAAAGUAGAUUUUAAUUGGUAGAGAUUUGCAAGGUACAUGACCAUUGUGCAAGUUAACGGUCUUGAACUAAGAGGACAGGAUAGUUUUUAAAAAAUUAUUUUUGCAAAGGAGUUGUCAACUCGAAUUCAAUUCAAGUUCCAUCGGGUAGGGUUACAUUUUGCCUGUCUGAAUUCUAUUUGGAGUUUAACAGCAGUAUUAGUUUAUCAAUUCUUACAUGCAACUUUUACAUAGAGUUGUUGAAAUACUGAUCUUUUUCACUGCAAAGGGGUCUUAAAACACAUUCUGACCUUUACAGAAAAAAAAGCAAUUUUCAUGAUAAAAUCAAAUAUGAAUUAUUCCAAGGAACAAGCAUCAAGUCCAAAGUCACAACACUUGAUGAUAAUGAUAGGACUUCUGCAGGUGAAAAUGUUGAUGUUUUGUUUUGGUUUGUAUUAGUAUGAUAGCAGGUCUUCUGUGACCAAAUUUUGGAAUUCAGCUUUGAUCUGGAAAGUUUUAUUUGAGAUAUGUGACCUUAAUCUAAUAUUUGUGUUUUACAUUACUGAGUCUGAUUUACUGAAGAAAUAGACUGAUCAAGUUUAAAUGCUGCAACAGCAAACAUUUGAGUAAUAAAUUUAGAAUAGUUAACAGAAAGUCCCUAUUGGGAAUUUAAGUUCCAGUAAGCAUAUUUCUGUGUCAAUGAUUGGAAAGAAAAAAAGAUAUUGUGGACACUACAUGGUAUGGCAUGUCUGCUGUCUGCCUGUAAGGGAGAGAAGAUUUUGGUAGCCUAAAAUGCAAACUGGUACUUCUAAUGGAGGGGGUGACUUGUGCAGCAGAGGAAUAGGUGACUGUCUUUCAAAGCAUCAAAAUGAUCAAGGAUUUCUCAGAUCUGCAGAGGUAAUCCAUCUAAAGGCAGGUCCUAUGGAAGUGGAUGGGGGGUAAUGAAAUCGAGGAGAAAAAUCACAAGGGAACAAAAUAAAUGUGAUUAUUGCAAACGUACCAGUUAGACUACAGAUUCUUCUGCUUCUCUAUCUUCAUAGCUGAAAAUACCAAACUGCUACAAGAAAGUAUUCUGGUGGGCAGAGCAUGUGCAGAAAUCGGUCUGAAAGAAUGAACCAAAGGAGAGGUUCUAAUGCACUGAACAAAGCAGAGCCCUCCUCUAAAGAAAUCAGGUGGAUGUCAGAGCAGACCACAGCUGGAUAAAAAAAAAAUGGACAAUCUUCUCAGUGGACUACUGAGUUUAGAAGAGAGGUUGGGGAUUCUGCUCAUCCUUUAACCAUUUAACAGAAAGUAAGCACAACAGUUAUAUGCAAGGAACAAGGUGAAGGAAAAUAAUUUCAGCAUAUCACAGUUAAACAAGAGAACAGGACAGCAGAAGACCCUUUCAGUAGGGAUUUGACCUAUUUCAAACUGUGCUUCACCAAACAUGAUUUCUAAAACCCUGGGAUUUGGGUAGAAACACUUAUCUAUCCUGCUGAUUUUCUCAAAAAUCCUUUGUGCCCCUUCAGCAGCAGAGGAGAGACAGCUGGAAUCACUGCAGGUGAACACUGCUUAUCAAGGCCUGCUACUUGAAUUUUGGGUUGUAUUUUAUGCCAUUAGUAAGUGAGCUAGCAAAUACUAUAUUAGUUUGCCUAGUUAAAUUUGCAUAUGUAUUUUGAUGGGGUAGUAAAUAAUGAAAAAGACAAGAAAAUAAGCUAGAGAGCAAUAUACUUAUGAGGAAAAAUUGUGAUAAUCCAUCAGCUGUAGUUUGGUACAGCCAUAUGGAAGGAGAGAUGAGACAAUGACCCCAAAAAGGGAUCACUGGAGAUAUAGUGCCUCAACACAAGUUUUCUUUGUCAUACUGCGGCAAAAAAGGCAAAUAGAGUGCUGUGAUGUAUAGAAUGAGUAUAUUAACGAGUCAUCAUUUGCAGCAUCUGUUGUUAGUAUACUUCUGUAGCAUGUAUGUUGCAAGCAAAAGUUAGUGAAAUGUGUCGUGAUGUGAAAUGGGGACAAACUAACAUUUUCCAGAUAUGCUGCAACUCUAGCAUCAGUGUGGGAAGUGGUGGAGAGGUAUUAGCGGCAGUGCAGCUUCUUGUCCUCCGUUGUUGCAGGUAGGAAACAUCUUCCACCUUGGAAGAACUUGGGAAAUUCUAGCUCUCCAACUCUCUCUUUUGAUCAUGAUCAGGAGGGAAAUAAGGCUCAGGAAAGUAUUUGUUAUCUCUCUGAAUUUUAUAAGGCAGAAAGAAGAUUGUACCUAUUGCAAGUAAAGAGGAAAAAACUAUAAAUCACUAAAAAAAAUAAAUCUAUUUUCUUCAGAAAUUAUGAGCACAAAUAUUUAGAUGCACAAGAUAAAGAGUUACUCUUUCCUCAGGUUCCCAGCACUGGAGUCUGGGAUUUUGCUGGCCAUCCUAAUGAUGGCUGUUUAAGCCAGUACCUCAUCACAUCAAAUAGUUUUCAUUUCUAAUUGUUGAUGAUGGGGAUAUCCAACUGAAAUCUUGGCCUUAGUAGGCUAAAAUCCUUUUUAUACAAAAAUGCAGUUUUACUUACAAGAUGGACAA
Molecule: long non-coding RNA, 4908 nt
Organism: Cygnus olor (mute swan)
Lineage: Eukaryota; Metazoa; Chordata; Aves; Anseriformes; Anatidae
Exons: 3
Source: RefSeq, a predicted model, not a curated record